CUCUGAUGUUGAAGGAAGUAUUAGACUAGCUUGAUAUUUUCUAGGUAUUCAAGUCGUACCAGCCUUGGUUUUAUAGUUAAGUAGUAAGAACUGAAUAGUUUUAAAAUCUCACCGUUGGGUUAAAUGCAAGAACCGGGAGUUUGAGAUUGGGUUUUUAGAAUGUAAGCUGAAUGGAUAGGGUGUAUUUUGAAACUCGUUAUUCUAAAAACUAGAGGGAAGGGAUUCCCUUAAUAAAAAAAAAUAACUCAGUCUCCAGUUGAAUACAUAUGGUGAAAGUUGGUAAGUAAACAUUUUGAUUUCUUGCUUUGUUAUAGUACAGUCUUGUCAGUAAACAGAGUGUUCCGACCUGUGCUGGAGAACUCAUUUUAUGCUUAAACACAUGUAGUAUUUCACAAGUGCUACUGCUUUCCUUGUCAAAUUUGUUUUAAACAGGAUCGCUGAAGCUUUGUGAAAAUCUUUUCAUUAAGCAUGUGUUGAAAUAGAAUCUACUAUAUGAAGAAGAAAUUUCUAUGGGAAGUACUCUGAUAUAUAUAUAUCUAUAUAUCCAUUUUUUUAGAAAGUCAACAUGAACCAGCAGAAAGUUAUAUUUAGUUGCAUUAGAGUCAUAAACAGUAGUAUCCCCACAGCCCAGCAGACUCACAAAUGGUGUUCUCCGUUGUUGCUUUUGAGGAUUGUGAUGCGUCUUUAGCUGUAACAUUGCAGAUCUCCCUAGAUAAAGUGAGAAAUACACCUAGGUUCAGUUUACAUUUUUCAGUGAACAUGUGAUGUGCUCAUGUGCACGAUGCAGACUGUAACAUCCCUCUUUAUAUGUUUUUUUUUUUUUUUAUUGAUACAGUAUAGAAUGAUUACGGGUUGUCAUUCAGUGACAAAGGGGCCUGUUCCAGGAAAUCUUCCUGACCCAAAAGUCAUUCUGAAUUCUGCAAGGGACAUUUGGUGUGGACAAAAGCUACGAUAGCUGAAUUGAUGUGACCAUGAAGACUGCUUUCGUGGAAUUUGGUGUUCCAAGGAUAAUGUAUAAAACUUAACUCACAGAAAAGGAACCUUGAAAUGACCUAGGAAAACAUGUAUCAUUAAAACAAGUGUAAAAAAGAGAAAAAACUCAAAAUCUAACCUAGAUGGUUUCUACUUCGAACUGCAGGAUUUCAUAUUCAUAUGUCCUCUAAGAGGAGUAUCACGGUUUUUACUAUUUGGAAAUGAAGCUGAGUUUUUAUUUUUCUUAGGAGCUGCAGCACUACCACCUGGUGCGGCUUAAC
This 1253-nucleotide long non-coding RNA is filed under the name Ursus maritimus (polar bear). RNAcentral describes it as "lncRNA (ENSUMAG00000019662.1)". The record is from RNAcentral. Lineage: Eukaryota; Metazoa; Chordata; Mammalia; Carnivora; Ursidae.